Drosophila willistoni is the source of this 1861-nucleotide long non-coding RNA. RefSeq lists it as uncharacterized. The transcript is spliced from 2 exons. NCBI's taxonomy places the organism in Eukaryota, Metazoa, Arthropoda, Insecta, Diptera, Drosophilidae. The record is from RefSeq and is a predicted model, not a curated record.
AAUAAAUAAAAAAUCAAUGGCUAAGACUACAUAAUUUAUGGCAUACCCACAGGUGAAAGCGAAACGACAAAGAUGAGAGACGAAAACGAAACCCAUUUUGACUCGGCCGCCUUAUGCAUAUCAGCAACAUUGUAGGAUUGGCCAAGACACAAGAUUGUGUUGACAAAUGACCAAGUUUGGCCAUCAUCAUACCCGGACAAAUGCUUUCGUUUCAAGUGAAAUUGAUUUGCGACCCAGUUGCCUAAGCGAAUUUUAAAGACCUGCCCGUUAAUAGGUGUAAAUAAUUAUUAUGAGCGUUGUCUGGCCAAGACAAGUUGGCAUUGGCAUCGGCAUCGGCGCAACGCUAGCAGUAAUUUAAGCCCAGAAAAAAACGAACAAAAUGUUGUCCAAAAUGCUCCCCGCUGGCUUCCGUUGUUGUUCCUGACAGCGGCCAACAGUGAAAGUAAACAGUUGUGAAAUGGUAACAGAAACAACAACCUAAACCAGCAACCAGCACCUUAUAGUGAAAAGUCAAAGAAAUUGUGGUGUGGCAUGAGUCAAAUCGUUUUCAUAGUGAGGGCCCCAGCAGCAAAUGUUUGGCGAAAACCAAAACAAAAGCCAAGUUAAUGCGCAUUAAUGUUAACAACUCAUUUAGGCAGCUGCCAAGCUUGAGCAAACAUUGACUGCCCACUGGCUGUUGGCCGUUGUUUCUAUUUUGGCUGUUGCUGCCGCAGUUCGCUUAAUCAACCAAAGUUCAUGUUUUUCUUUACAAAAUGUCAAGCAACGACUCUAGAAUACCUUUCACUCUUACAACUAUAGGGAAACUUUAUGGGUAAUUGUGGGUUAGAGACAGUUCAAUAUAUUUGAUCAAUCAAAUAGCAAAACUUAAAAUUCAAUAUAAAAAUUAUCUAAAAGCUUAAGUCUGAUCAACUCAAACUCCAAUCUAACUCAUUUUAAAGGGUAAGUUACAAACUAAACUACUUAAACUCUAUGCCUUGCCGAAAUUCAAGAGAAAUAGUUGGAAAAUCGUCUGUUGGAAUCAGCACAGCACUGAAAGUCUCAUAUACAAGAACAACAACAAAAAAAGAAGUGGGCAACUGUGUGACACCGAAUGCCAGUGACAAGUGACCACAAAACCACAUAGACAACAAAAAAUACAAACUUUUGGUGAGUCAUCUAACAGAUCAUUAGAGAAUAUUCUCUUUUAAUGUGUGGGAAAUAUUCAAAACUCAACCUAAAUGAUAUCGAUAUAUAGAAUUUUCUCUAUCGCUGUUGCUUUUUAUGCAAAGUGGAAAAAUUCAAAACGAAAGCCUGUCCAAAUGAUUGGGAGCGAACCACCGUUGUGUGGUGGUGCAUUGAGGUGCUUCGGCUACAGCAGCCGCCAAACUGGUGCAGCAUCGGCAUACAUCGUACAUGCAAGUAUGUAUGUCUGUAUCGCCUGUUACCAAUUUCACAUUCUAAAAAAGAAAAACAACAACAACAAAAACUUACCACAAAAAUGUACAAUAAUUCAUAAGCCGCCAGGCAAUGCAAUUCUUGUUCACUCAGUCAUGCUCCAGCCACUGGGAAGCAGCAGCAGCAGGAGGAGAAUCGUGUUGCCGAAUGCCCAAUUUGGCAACAAUUUCACUGUCAACCGGAAGGCAGUCGGCUUUGGUUGUAGCUGUUGCGGCUGAGACUACGACUCGGGGGUUAGUCAAAGCCAAGUGGAUGCCUGCAAGGGCGUUGUGCGCAGAAUGUCGAACCAAAUGAAAACGAGUUUGGGCCAAAAAGCAGGUCAGCAGAACGUAGACGGACUGCAAUUACAGCUCGAAUAACAGGGGCGAAUUCAGAAUGAUGGAGGUUUUCUAAAUUAAUUAAUAAAAUAAAACUUAUCUACUGGAAA